GAUGAACGCUGGCGGCGUGCUUAACACAUGCAAGUCGAACGGAAAGGCUCCUGCUUGCAGGGGUACUCGAGUGGCGAACGGGUGAGUAACACGUGGGUUAUCUGCCCUUCACUUCGGGAUAAGCCUGGGAAACUGGGUCUAAUACCGGAUAGGACGAUGGUUUGGAUGCUAUUCUGGAAAGUUUUUUCGGUGUGGGAUGAGCUCGCGGCCUAUCCGCUUGUUGGUGGGGUAAUGGCCUACCAAGGCGUCGACGGGUAGCCGGCCCGGGAGGGUGUACGGCGACAUUGGGACUGAGAUACGGCACAGACUCCAACGGGAGGCAGAAGUGGGGAAUAUUGCACAAUGGGCGCAAGCCUGAUGCAGCGACGCCGCGUGGGGGAUGACGGCCUUCGGGUUGUAAACUACUUUCGCUAGGGACGAAGCGCAAGUGACGGUACCUGGAGAAGAAGCACCGGCUAACUACGUG
RNAcentral lists this ribosomal RNA (466 nucleotides) under uncultured bacterium. RNAcentral's name for it is "partial 16S ribosomal RNA". It matches the Rfam family "Bacterial small subunit ribosomal RNA", at positions 28 to 507 of the family's 1533-position model. The record is from RNAcentral.